Molecule: ribosomal RNA, 1374 nt
Filed under: Triticum aestivum (bread wheat)
Lineage: Eukaryota; Viridiplantae; Streptophyta; Magnoliopsida; Poales; Poaceae
Description: partial small subunit ribosomal RNA
Source: RNAcentral
AUGGCUGAAGCUGCCAUCUACCGCAGCUUAGGGAACGUCCAGUAUGGGGAGGACAUAACCGUCAAGGCCAUUGAUGACUUUGCAGCUCCGUUCAAGGAUCAGCUAUCUGAUGAUGUUGUUGCUACUAUUGGAUUCCUCAUGCCACAUUGUUUGCCUGCAAGAAAAAUUUUGGAAAAUGUUGACAUGUUCACCGCCUUGCCCCUGGGAGGCAAUCGGCUCGUAGUUAUGCUGAAAAGCCGGCAAAUGGCACCAGAGGGGGGAAUCCUCAUGCUGUGGGACGACCAGAAGGUCGACAUCUCUUCCAUUCACGCCUCAACCUACUGCCUCUUAGCCAUGGUCCGCAUCAUUGGCUUGGACACAAGCUACAAAAUCACCUCAGCAUAUGGUCACAUUGCUUGCUUCCUCGAGGAUGGUUUUUUUGUUGACCUAGUGGCCUUGAAGCCCCCUCCAGGGGUACGCUGGCUCGCGCUUGAAUACUUCAACCAGAUUUACUGGGCCCAUGAUAGGAACAAGAAAAAUGUUAAGGUUAGCCGCAUCAACCGCUUUAGGUCUGCUCUUCUCUCCUGUGAGCUAAAAGAGAUACACCUUCAAAAUCGAUGCUUCACUUGGAGCAACGAACGACAAAACCCAACACUAUGCAAGAUGGAUUUAGUCUUUUGCAAUGCCGAAUGGGAUGUCCAUUUUGACAAUCACAUCCUGCACGCUCACUCCUCUUUGCUCUCUGAUCACCGCCCCCUACUGCUCGCUGACGCGGUUGGGCCGCGUAGGCCGAGGUCCUUCAAAUUCAAAUAUUUCUGGGCCUCCCUCCCUGGAUUCAAUGAGGUGGUUUUGAAUGCCUCGGAAAGUGACCUUCGAGCUAGGCUCAAAAGAAGGGUUAUCAGUCUGGCGGUACUAGAGAGUGCACACAAAAAGCAAUGUGCGAGGAUUGCCAAUCUAAAGGAAGGGGGCGCGAACACUAAUUUUUUUCACCGCCGGGUCAACGCGAGGCACCGGGAAAGCCACAUCCACCGUAUUAUGCACAACCAGGGUUGGGUCAUGGACCAUGAGCGCAAAGAGGAAAUCAUCCAUGCUCACUUCUCCAAUGUGUCGAGCAGAGAGGGCACUAGGGCAAAUGACUUUAACUGGGAUGGGUUGGACCUCGGCUCCCAUGACUUGGCCUCCCUUGGUGAGCCCAUAUCUGGUGACGAGCGGGAACUUUCCCAAAUCAUCAUGAAGGAGGUCGUCGGAAAAACAGGGAUGUUCUACGGAGAAGGACAAAUGUCGCGGGAAGACGUCCGAACAUGGAUAGCCUCUCAGCGUCUCGACAUGAAGCCUUUCACUAAGCUCGAGGACUAUCUCCCUGACAUGGAUGGAUGGCACGACAUGGUGGAGUGA